Suncus etruscus (white-toothed pygmy shrew) is the source of this 423-nucleotide non-coding RNA. RefSeq annotates it as small Cajal body-specific RNA 2. The record is from RefSeq and is a predicted model, not a curated record. The transcript has a single exon. NCBI's taxonomy places the organism in Eukaryota, Metazoa, Chordata, Mammalia, Eulipotyphla, Soricidae.
GCUUUAAGGAAUCAGAAAAGUAUUGAUUUUUAUUAAAAAUAAAAAAAAGCAUUAGGGGCAUUGCAGCCUGGUGUGUGGUGAUGAGUGUGUGAGCAGAGCAUGAACGGGAGUGUGCAACACUAGAGUGUGCGCCCACCCCAGUGCACCUUCCCCUACUACACCUUAAUGUUAUUUGAUAAGGUAGAACACCCAUCCAUAGAUAAGCCAGGGUUGAUCAUAAAUGAUAAAAACCUUUCUGCUGUGAAGCCCAAUUGCUUGGGCCUUGUGCAGUGAGGCCUUCCUGGAGUCAGCGGCGUAGUUCAGUCCCAGCUUAGAGUUGGUUCUGAGGGGUCCAGUGCUCCAAUGUGAUGAAUUGAUCAGAUAAACGGGACUUAGAGUUUCACCUGCCGGGUUACUGGUUUAUCAAAGACGAUUCUGAUCUGA